AGAGCGUAUGGCGGAUGCCUAGGCACAGAGAGGCGAAGAAGGACGCAGCAAACAGCGAAAUGCGACGGUUAGCAGUAAGCAUGCAACGAUCCGUCGAUGUCCGAAUGGGGGAACCCACCUGGAGUAGAGACCAGGUAUCCUGAAGUGAAUAAAUAGCUUCAGAGAGGCGAGACUCAGGGAACUGAAACAUCUAAGUACCUGAAGGAAGAGAAAAUAAACGAAUGAUUCCCUAAGUAGCGGCGAGCGAAAGGGGAAGAGCCCAAACCGAUCUUAGGAUCGGGGUUGUAGGACUGUCGGCAAAGAGCAAGAAAUCAUUAUAGGCGAACGGAAUGGGAAGUCCGGCGAAACAGGGUGACAGCCCCGUAGCCGAAAUAGUGAAGAAGCACGAGACAGCACCUGAGUACGGCGGGACACGAGGAAUCCUGUCGGAAUCCACCAGGACCAUCUGGUAAGGCUAAAUACUCCUCUGUGACCGAUAGUGAACCAGUACCGUGAGGGAAAGGUGAAAAGAACCCCGGGAGGGGAGUGAAAUAGAACCUGAAACCAUAUGCUUACAAGAAGUUAGAGCCCGUUAAAGGGUGAUAGCGUGCCUUUUGUAGAAUGAACCGGCGAGUUACGAUAUGGAGCGAGGUUAAGCAGGAUAUGCGGAGCCGAAGCGAAAGCGAGUCUUAAUAGGGCGAAAGUUGCAUGUCGUAGACCCGAAACCGAGUGAUCUAGCCAUGACCAGGUUGAAGUUGGGGUAAAACCCGAUGGAGGACCGAACCGACCCCCGUUGAAACGUUGGCGGAUGAGUUGUGGCUAGGGGUGAAAUUCCAAUCGAACUCGGAGAUAGCUGGUUCUCCCCGAAAUAGCUUUAGGGCUAGCCUCAUGUUAGAUUUCCGGAGGUAAAGCACUGAAUGGCCUAGGGCCCGAGAGGGUACCGAAGCCUAUCAAACUCUGAAUGCCGGAAAAUUGAUGCAUGGGAGUCAGACUAUGUGAGAUAAGUCUCAUAGUCGAAAGGGAAACAGCCCAGAUCUACAGCUAAGGUCCCAAAGCAGGUUUAAGUGGAAAAGGAUGUGGAGUUGCGAAAACAGCCAGGAUGUUGGCUUAGAAGCAGCCACUCAUUUAAAGAGUGCGUAAUAGCUCACUGGUCGAGUGACUCUGCGCCGAAAAUUCAACGGGGCUAAAACCUGCACCGAAGCUUAGGCAUCCGCAAGGAUGGGUAGGGGAGCGUUGUGUACGAGGCGAAGCAUUAGCGAAAGCGGAUGUGGAUUGUACACAAGUGAGAAUGCCGGAAUAAGUAGCGCGAAUGAUGUGAGAAUCAUCAUGGCCGAAAGCCUCAGGUUUUUGGAGGAAGGUUCGUCCGCUCCAAGUUAGCCGGGAGCUAAGGUGAGGCCGAAAGGCGUAGCCGAUGCACAUACGGUAGAGAUUCCGUAGCCGCCGAAAGAUUUAAGCAGGGGGACACAUUUGAAGUGUUGGUGCCGGGUGUUGGUUUACCCGGUCGAAAGGGACUGAAAUUUAGUAGGGAAGUCCAGCAUGGAGAGUGGCGAGAAAAGCCCUGUGUAUAUCUAAGGCGCCCGUACCGCAAACCGACACAGGUAGGUAGGAAGAAGAUUCUAAGGCCAACGGGAGAAGGGUUGUUAAGGAACUCGGCAAGUUGACCCCGUAACUUCGGGAGAAGGGGUGCUCAUGAAAGUGAGCCGCAGAGAAUAGGCCCAAGCAACUGUUUAGCAAAAACACAGGUCUGUGCUAAAUCGAAAGAUGACGUAUACGGGCUGACACCUGCCCGGUGCUGGAAGGUUAAGGGGAUGUGUGCAAGCACUGAACCGAAGCCCCAGUAAACGGCGGCCGUAACUAUAACGGUCCUAAGGUAGCGAAAUUCCUUGUCAGGUAAGUUCUGACCCGCACGAAAGGCGUAACGAUUUGGGCGCUGUCUCAGCUGUAGACUCGGUGAAGUCUUAGUACCUGUGAAGAUGCAGGUUACCCGCGACUAGACGGAAAGACCCCAUGGAGCUUUACUGUAGCUUGAUAUUGGACUUUGAUGCAAGAUGUACAGGAUAGGUAGGAGACUGAGAGACAUGCACGCCAGUGUGUGAGGAGUCAAUGUUGGGAUACUACUCUUCUUGUAUUGGAGUUCUAACCGGAUGCCAUGGAACUGGCAACGGGACAGUGUCAGGUGGGCAGUUUGACUGGGGCGGUCGCCUCCCAAAGAGUAACGGAGGCGCCCAAAGAUACCCUCAGCUUGGAUGGAAAUCAAGCGCAGAGUGCAAAGGCAUAAGGGUGUUUGACUGCGAGACCUACAAGUCGAGCAGGGACGAAAGUCGGGCUUAGUGAUCCGGCGGUGCUGAAUGGAAAGGCCGUCGCUCAACGGAUAAAAGCUACCCUGGGGAUAACAGGCUGAUCUCCCCCAAGAGUCCACAUCGACGGGGAGGUUUGGCACCUCGAUGUCGGCUCGUCGCAUCCUGGGGCUGAAGUAGGUCCCAAGGGUUGGGCUGUUCGCCCAUUAAAGCGGUACGCGAGCUGGGUUCAGAACGUCGUGAGACAGUUCGGUCCCUAUCUGUCGUGGGCGCAGGAUAUUUG
Molecule: ribosomal RNA, 2559 nt
Filed under: human gut metagenome
Description: bacterial LSU rRNA
Rfam family: Bacterial large subunit ribosomal RNA
Source: RNAcentral